Molecule: transfer RNA, 75 nt
Filed under: Citrobacter phage Mijalis
Lineage: Duplodnaviria; Heunggongvirae; Uroviricota; Caudoviricetes; Andersonviridae
Description: tRNA-Gly
Source: RNAcentral
UCCCUCUGGAUGCUCCAAUUCAUGCUCCUAUCGUAUAACUGGCUAUUACGGUUGCCUUGUAAGCAACUUAUCAGG